GUUUCCAAUGUUUGGGUGGACAGAAAAUUUAGAGGAUGCUGCGCCAGUCAACAUUUCUCCCCAUUCUGGGAGGAGGAUUGAGGAAAUCCACAAGUUCAUAAGAACUUGUCUACCAGCAUUCAGAUCUUGAGAGUAUGGCCGAGUGCAAAGCUGCAUUCAUGGAAACAAAGGUUCUUACCCUGCUGGACUGGGUGGUUGGAGACUUCGCUCCUUCAGACCCCAUCACAAAGUAUGUUAGUGAAUAAAUUCUUAAAGACAAAAGGUUUUCCUGCAACCCUUUUAAUAAAAGCAAGGCUCUGGACUAACUGUCUGGAAACAAGCAUCCCAGGGAAUCUAAAGUGUCAUUUCCUCUCUGGAAGAAAGGAAGCACAAAACAAGCUAGGUACGUACUCUAAAUUUUCACUCAGUAUCAGCUCCAGCUAUAAAUUUCCCUCAAUCCCUGUGUCUCCCUCAUUCUUUUUCCCCAACCCCCUCAAAAUCUUGGAUCAAUAUCUUUCUGUUAUAGUUAAGAUGCAGGAUUUUUACAGGAUGGCACAUAUUAAAAUUAGAAUACCUAGAAUAAAAUUAGAAUAAAAUAAAGCUGGGAAUCUAAAAGAAUUGCCUUCUUUCCUUCCCCAUCUCCUUGAAUCUCUUGCUUCCCACAUUAUUAUAUCCUGUAAAUAAUUUUGUUG
This 671-nucleotide long non-coding RNA is filed under the name Felis catus (domestic cat). RNAcentral's name for it is "lncRNA (ENSFCAG00000045415.2)". The record is from RNAcentral. Lineage: Eukaryota; Metazoa; Chordata; Mammalia; Carnivora; Felidae.